GACGAACGCUGGCGGCGUGCUUAACACAUGCAAGUCGAACGAUGAAGCUGGAGCUUGCUCCGGUGGAUUAGUGGCGAACGGGUGAGUAACACGUGAGCAAUCUGCCCUUCACUCUGGGAUAACUGCGGGAAACUGUAGCUAAUACCGGAUACGAGGCUUGGAGGCAUCUACAGGUCUGGAAAGAAUUUCGGUGAAGGAUGAGCUCGCGGCCUAUCAGCUUGUUGGUGAGGUAAUGGCUCACCAAGGCGACGACGGGUAGCCGGCCUGAGAGGGUGACCGGCCACACGGGGACUGGUGCACGGCCCAGACUCCUACGGGAGGCAGCAGUGGGGAAUAUUGCACAAUGGGCGAAAGCCUGAUGCAGCAACGCCGCGUGAGGGAUGAAGGCCUUCGGUUUGUAAACCUCUUUUAGCAGGGAAGAAGCGAAAGUGACGGUACCUGCAGAAAAAGCACCGGCUAACUACGUGCCAGCCGCCGCCGUAA
Molecule: ribosomal RNA, 483 nt
Filed under: uncultured bacterium
Lineage: Bacteria
Description: partial 16S ribosomal RNA
Rfam family: Bacterial small subunit ribosomal RNA
Source: RNAcentral